Molecule: long non-coding RNA, 1611 nt
Filed under: Triticum aestivum (bread wheat)
Lineage: Eukaryota; Viridiplantae; Streptophyta; Magnoliopsida; Poales; Poaceae
Description: long non-coding RNA (TAES_LNC027325)
Source: RNAcentral
UUUGGUUACUUUGACCACCAUACCUUCAGUAGCCUUUGAAAUGUUUUUGUUACUAUAGCCCGAGUACACAAGAGCUCUUCUACUAGCUGUAUUGCCCUUCCAGUAGGCCUCUACACUGAGGUUUUUUGCAAAAACAGCUACUCUACUCUCUUUAGGAAUCCUACAAAACCUCUCCGACAUAUGGCCUACAAGCCCACAACACUCACAAUAUGAUGGCAACUAUUCAUAACGAACAUCAAAGUAACAUUUUUCUUUGCCGCCUAGUGGAGUGAAUUCUACUCUACUCUUGAUUUCCUCAUGUAGCGGGACUUUCACGAACACGCAAAUACUUUUCUACUAUCAUCUGAUUCUGGUGUGAGAAGGUUAUCACUUCCCCAGUUUGGCCCCUUAGAGAUGUACCCACAUCUUCAGUUUUAAGCUCAAACGGUAGGUCACGAACCUGGGCCCAAAUAGCCAUGGUUCCAAGAUCCACCUUCGCUGGGUUACCCUUGCCGUCGAACUCGGCGAAGACGAUCCCAUCACGCUUGUGGUGCCACGGCUGGGCCUUCAACACAAAGCGUCUAUCCACUUCAGCGGAGAAGUUCAGGAUGAACCUCCCGUCGUCGAUGUCCACCUCCUAGACGGUGACCUCGCCUUUCAGCCUCCAAGCCGACAAAGCACGAAGGUCAUCGACAAGGACCUGCGGGUGAACUUGGAAUGGCGACAGAAGUCGCCCUACCACCAAGAAACCCCUCACAGCCCUCCUGGCGUCCUCCAUAUCGAUGACCAACGGUGAGUCAUCCCCACAGGGCCGCCUGGACUCCUUCAUCCUCUCGCCCCCAGGUGAGGUAGCCAGAGCAAGAGAAUCGCUCCCCAUGGUCGCCGGCACACUCCCCGAUCCCUGACCCAUCUCCAUCUCCGCCUCCCCCUUCCUAUCCAUCUCCAUCUCUUCCUUACACACUAAUACAACUCGUACAAGGAAGAAACUCAAGAGGAAACCCCUCACCCCUCUGUAGUUGAUAUAGUAUACCCCCUCUUCCAGAAUCGCCACCAAUAGGACGAAAAUUGUACACUUAACGAAAAUUAAAGGAUCAUAAAUGGGCAGAUUCCAAAAUAAAAUCCCACUAAUCUCUCUAUUUUCCUUUAUUGUACAGAUGGGACUCCUUCCCUGAUUUCUCUCUUCCUCAUCCAUAUCUCCCACCGAAUAGAUUUCUCUAUAAUCCUGAACAAUAGUACUAGUUUCCAUACUACUAGCACCCAAAAUCGGACCCCCUGUCCCGGACGGGAUCUAAUCUAGCGAAUUACAACCCCUACCAUAUUUUUGUACCUCGGAUUUGUCGCUGUAGUAGUCGCCCAUCUUCACGUUCCCUGCCAGAUCAGGGAGGAUCUUCACUGGAUUCACGCGCAUCAUCUCCUCCGCUCGCCUCUUCAUUUGCUUCCAGCACCUCUUCCGGUCUGUAGAUCGCCGGAUAAUGCGCCUUGCUUCCGCCUUGACUUCUUCCCAAUCCGGCGCGCCCGCUGCGCCCCCGAUGGAAAUCCCCCUCCUAAUGGGGCCGCGAGGAUGGCAAUUCCGGUCUGUAUAUAUGUCUACUUCUAGUUGCAUAGUCCGUACAUCGUUUCGUUCGUUGGCUG